This 439-nucleotide ribosomal RNA is filed under the name uncultured bacterium. RNAcentral describes it as "partial 16S ribosomal RNA". It matches the Rfam family "Bacterial small subunit ribosomal RNA", at positions 339 to 795 of the family's 1533-position model. The record is from RNAcentral.
CUACGGGGGGCUGCAGUGAGGAAUAUUGCACAAUGGAGGAAACUCUGAUGCAGCAACGCCGCGUGGAGGAUGACGCAUUUCGGUGUGUAAACUCCUUUUAUAUGUCAAGAAAAUGACGGUAGCAUAUGAAUAAGCACCGGCUAACUCCGUGCCAGCAGCCGCGGUAAUACGGAUGGUGCAAGCGUUACUCGGAAUCACUGGGCGUAAAGGACGCGUAGGCGGGUUGGAAAGUCAGGUGUGAAAUCCUACAGCUUAACUGUAGAACUGCACUUGAAACUUCUAAUCUAGAGUAUGGGAGGGGGAGAUGGAAUUAGUGGUGUAGGGGUAAAAUCCGUAGAUAUCACUAGGAAUACCUAAAGCGAAGGCGAUCUCCUGGAACAUUACUGACGCUAAGGCGUGAAAGCGUGGGGAGCAAACAGGAUUAGAUACCCUGGUAGUC